This is an RNA transcript of Lucilia sericata (common green bottle fly), 885 nucleotides long. RefSeq lists it as uncharacterized. NCBI's taxonomy places the organism in Eukaryota, Metazoa, Arthropoda, Insecta, Diptera, Calliphoridae. The transcript has 5 exons. The record is from RefSeq and is a predicted model, not a curated record.
CAAACAUAUAAACAUACAAACCAACACACAUUUUUUGUUGUAUACAUAAAAGAAAUGGAAAACAAAAUAAAUGUUUAUGUUCAAAGAAGUUUUGUAUUAGAAGUGACGUGUUUUUUAAAAGAUAACAAUGUCAAUUGUCAGAAAAUCUAUAAAAACAAUAACAACGAAAAUUAAAGUAUAAUGUUAAUGCUUGAGAAAAUAUUAAACAAUCAAACAGUCUUAUUGGAAAAGGUUACAAAAAUAGAAAAUGAAUUGGAUAAACUAAAAGCUGAUCAAAUUCAAGCUACAAUAAUAAUUAAACAACUUGUAAAAAAAACGUGCAUGUGGGAAAUGACCCAGAUUUCCCAAUUUUAAAUAUUGAAGAUAUGGAAAAACUUAACAGCCUUAUUUCUGCCGACCCAAAUUCAUAUUAUAUCUGUUUUUUAGAUUCCAAAAAUUAAGACAAUAUUGAGGCCAGGCGGUUUAGAAAAAAAUUUUGAUAGAUUAUUGAAUAAAGAUGUAUAUCUGUCAUUAAAUUAUGAUGGAUUGAAUGGCAAGAGGGGGUUAAAGGAGUUCCAGUCGCUGCAUGAUGUAAUUUACGAAGCUCUAAAGGAAGAUGGCUAUACCAUUCAAGUAUUUAAAAAGAAAAUGCAACACUGUUUCAAAAUUUAUAAGAAUAGAUUUUUUUCAAAAAAAUCCAGAGAAAAAGAAAGCAAAAUUAAUAUUAAAAACACAUAAAAAUGUCCAUAUCUAUUUUUCUUUUUUCUUAUCAAUUGGAUUUUGGAUUGCAUACAAUUUGGAUUGGAUUACAUACUUUUCCAUUGAAUUUUAAUUGAAUUGAAUUUAUAAACAUUUUCAUAAUUCUUAUUUAUUUUUAAAUUUUUAAAUUAAUAAAAAAUAUAUAAC